This 253-nucleotide ribosomal RNA is filed under the name uncultured bacterium. Its description in RNAcentral is "partial 16S ribosomal RNA". It matches the Rfam family "Bacterial small subunit ribosomal RNA", at positions 524 to 776 of the family's 1533-position model. The record is from RNAcentral.
UACGAAGGGGGCUAGCGUUGCUCGGAAUCACUGGGCGUAAAGCGCACGUAGGCGGCUUUUUAAGUCAGGGGUGAAAUCCCGGAGCUCAACUCCGGAACUGCCUUUGAUACUGGGUGUCUUGAGUGUGGAAGAGGUGAGUGGAAUUCCGAGUGUAGAGGUGAAAUUCGUAGAUAUUCGGAGGAACACCAGUGGCGAAGGCGGCUCACUGGUCCAUUACUGACGCUGAGGUGCGAAAGCGUGGGGAGCAAACAGG